AGCUGAGGUUAGUGAGGCAGUGGGGGGUUAGCAAGUUGAAGGCAGAUAAUAUGGGGCUCUGUGGGCCAUCAUGAGGACUUCAGCUUUUACCUCGGCAUGAGAUGGGAAACCACUGGAGAAUCUAGAGGAGAAAGGGAUGAUCUGCCCUUCAACAGGAUCAUCCAGGCUACUCCGGUGAAUAUAGACCAUAUGAGGGCAAAGAUUGGAAGCUAGGUGAGCAGUUAGAAGGCUACUGCAAUAGCUAUGUGAGAGAGAUGAACUAGGAGAGUAGCAGUGGAGAUCUGAGAUACGGCAAAGUCUAGAUAUAACACAAAGGAAUAGCCGACAGAAUUUGCUUUUGGAUUGGCUGUAUUGUAGGAGAGAAAAAAUAGGGUGCAUUUUUGGGUUGAGCAAAGAGAAGAAUGAAGAUUCCUUGUACUGAGAUGGGGAAAACUGCAGGAGGAGUGGGUCUGAAAGAGAUGAGGCAUAUCUGAGGCACAGAGAGGUUAAGUUGGGGACUGAAGUGUGGCUCCAGAAUCUAAGUUUCUAACUGCCAUGCUAUGGAGGCAGGAAAAGCCCCUUGGGUGAUUACACAGUGGUUCUCAAAGUAUGGACCUCCAACCAGCAGCAUCAGCAGCAUCUGGAUACUUGCUAGAAAUGGAAAUUCUCUGGCCCUAUUCCAGGCCUUCCAAGUUGGAAACUUUGUGAUGGGGCCCAGCACUCUGUGUUUUAACAAGCCCUCUAGCCUUAAGGAAAACAACUCUGAGGACUUUUGUCACGGACUUGAAAUUCUCAUCUGUGCUUGGACAAGACUCUGAAACAUACCAACUGUGUAUUUUCCUGCCUUUGGUAAAUCUGGAGCUAUUAACUGAUUCUAAAGAACAUUUGACUUAAAAAGACUAUGGAAAGCCCAAAGAAUAAAGACUUCAGGCGUAAGAAUUUCAAUUCCCACACCUACGUUUUCCCCAAGCAAGAUUAGCAAGAUUAUUCCACAUACAGAGAAAUUCAUUACUAAGUCAGCUGCCCAACUUCUUUUUAAGAACACCAUGAAUAUAGUAAGUUUCGGUACAUUUUGGGGUAGUUCCUUCAAUCGAGGCAGCAGGCAGAAGACAUAACACUGCUGAGACAAGCUCAGUAUGAUUCUGUGGUCUAACCAAGUCAUAAAGCAAAGGACACAUUUUAAUUAAUCUACCUUCCAGCUGAUAAAAUCUUCUAAUGAGCCAUGUGCCAUCUCAGAAAAUUAUAGCAUGUAUGGUCCAAAAUUUGAUCAGGAACACAAACAGACCACUCAACAUAUAUUAAACAGAAAAGGACUCAAUACAGGUAACUAGAUGCUUUCAAAACCAUUGGCAGGGUUAGAGGCAUGAAACAGAAUGUGACCACUUACUCUCAAGUGUUCUAGUUUCCAGAAAGUCUCUGGAAUCAUAAGAAACUAUUGGUUAUGUUCCGAGCUGCCUCCACAACUGAGCUAGGUGAUUCUCGAAAAACCACCCAGAAACCGAUGCAAAAUAUCCCAUUUGCUGAAGCCCACAAGUUUGUGACUGUCUUUUCUAAUGGAGAAACAACAAUACAGUUUCUGUUUCUUUUGCCUCUCAAACUUCAUGCAAGCGCCUCUGGCUGGCACAUUCUAACCUGGAACCCUGAUGAUAAGAAUUUUGAAAAAAAUGCUGCUUCCAGGCUUCUAGUGUCUAGAAAUAGAGAGAGCAUUGGGAAAGGUGGG
Molecule: long non-coding RNA, 1699 nt
Filed under: Homo sapiens (human)
Lineage: Eukaryota; Metazoa; Chordata; Mammalia; Primates; Hominidae
Description: HSALNT0139878
Source: RNAcentral